This is a long non-coding RNA of Carassius carassius (crucian carp), 902 nucleotides long. RefSeq lists it as uncharacterized. NCBI's taxonomy places the organism in Eukaryota, Metazoa, Chordata, Actinopteri, Cypriniformes, Cyprinidae. The record is from RefSeq and is a predicted model, not a curated record. The transcript is spliced from 5 exons.
AGAUGACCUCCCGCAGACCAGCUCCUCUCAUUCAGACCUUGGCCAGCUGCCCUCACAAGGCAUGUAUGAGAGUACUGUUUUCCUUGGAGCUCAUGAGGAGGAAUCAGGAGGAUGCAGUGUGCCCACCACCCCACUACAGAUGGUCUCUCCUGGAAUUUACAAAUCCAUGCAUCCUAAUAGUAAAAAUAAUUUUCUAAUUAUCUUGGAAAAGUCCAGGAUUAUGCAGUGGCCACUUUUUGUGCAUUUUUAAUUUACUGAGAAUUCAAUCGCUCCUUCAAAAUGGCAAACACAGAGGGAUGUAAAGCUAUAUCAAAAUAGUUUUUUAGUAUCCGAUUAUAUACCUAAUUCUCUUCACUCUACCAUUUUCCAGUCAGUUAUCUCAUUAUCUUUUUUCUAAUACAUUCAGUGACAGUUUUAUCAGAGACUAUGGCAUUUGAAGCAGUUGAGCUUGCUUCUUAGUCUGUGCCCAUGGUGAGCACCUCCACACCCGGCCUUAGUGCUUCUGCAGGCCCUAGUGGAGUGGAGGAUAGACACAACAUGUUCAUGGAUGCUGGAGACGGUGCUAAAGCUUCACUUGAGGCUGUGUCACAGACUGAGGCGGAGGAACCAGCCAAUCCUUCAGGUUUAGGCCAGUCUGCCUUCCACAAGCCAUGAACAUGCAUGUAGUUCUGCAGACACAAGCAGCUCUCAGCCUCCUAAAGUUCGACCGGGAUCUGGGAGACAAUGAAGUGGUGGUCGUGGUUCAAGGGGCUUUGUAAAGAGAGCAGUUCUGAAGAAACACAUUCUGAAUGAAUGGCACCAGAAGAACACAGCCAUACCUUUGUUCUACUUUAAGACUUCAGUCAAUGUACAGUAUUAUAAUUUUUGCUUGUUCGUUUAAUGCUCUGAGCAAUCCAUCAAUG